CCAGGUGGCAUGAGAAGGUAGAAUCAAGAUGAAUGGGAAAAGAUUGAGGUGGGAACACUCUUCAGACCACCGCCCUAACAGCCAGCACUGAUGGAAGCGGAAACUGGUGACCAGAAGGUGUGCACUCUGUGACACUGAAGGUGCAAGUGGCUAUACCAAUUACAGAAGGUAGUCAAGUGAGUAUCAGGUGAAAUUCAAUUACCUGCAAGACCACUUUCACUCUUGAUGUUCCCAGUGUCUGUCUCAUGCUGUGAUGUGAACCAUUUCCUACUGCUGCUCAGAGGGAAUAUCAGACUGACACUUGUGGGGAAGGUGGGCUGGGGGAGGGCCCCAGCCCAGUGAGAUCCUACAGAAUGGACAUGCAGACUUGAUUGCUCUGCCCCUUGGAAUGGGGCUCCUGAUAGGGAUAAGAGCCCACAAAAGAGGUGCAGAGUGAGGGAUUGUGACUUCCAAAUUGACAGCUGGAGGAAUACUUCUGAUGAGAGUAUUUUCUUAGAGAGAAGUAUUUGAAAAUUUUAAGUGAAAGAGCAUGGAGAGUGCCCCAAACUCAAGGGCAGAGCUCCCUGCUACCAAUACACUUUCCUGACCAGGACUUGGAGGAGAAAGGAGCACAGUCACAUGGUCAGAUCAUUUCAGAGGGUCCCUGUAUGUUCACCACAAGGCAUCCAGCUUACCCGCAGAGAAGAUCCCCGACUGUGGGUCUCCUCACUUGGUAUGUAAUGACCUGAGAAUGGAAGUAUGUCUGUGCCAUCUGUGUCGUUAUGUGCUCACAGGAGUGUGCAUGCCCACACUUGCUCAUGUGAUGACUGGAAAAAAGUGACUAUUUAUUCAGAGCCUUAUAUUUACUUUAUACUAUAAUAAACUAUUCUGUAUAAAA
This is a long non-coding RNA of Galeopterus variegatus (Sunda flying lemur), 877 nucleotides long. RefSeq lists it as uncharacterized. The transcript has 2 exons. The record is from RefSeq and is a predicted model, not a curated record. Lineage: Eukaryota; Metazoa; Chordata; Mammalia; Dermoptera; Cynocephalidae.